UGUAACACUACUGUGAGAAAUGGGACUGUGUUUCCUCAGAGAGACCAUGAAGUGGAGUUACUGAGCCAGGGUGGAGGAAGAAACUGUAACACUUCUAGAGCAAUUAAAACUAUGCCAGCAGCAAAUGGAGGCCAAGUUACAGCCGGAAAUUAAAGAAAGACUUGAAUCAGCCAAAGAGGCCUUGCAGCAAUGAAGCCAGCAGCGUACAAGUCUUCAGUUAAGCAUGGAGGCCAGUUCCCAGCAGCAGAUGGAGGCCUCAAAGCAACAGAAAGAAAACUUCCAAGCCAGCAUGAGCAGCCCAAGUCAGGAGACGAGAACCUUGCCUACACCACAGGCUGCCAGGAGUUAAAACUGCCCAGCUACGGAGCUUCCAGUUGGGAUUGGCAAACGAAAAUUGAUUUGGUAGCUGGGUUUAGACUAGCUUGGACUCAAGGGUGUAGCUGAAAAUCAAGCUAGUAGCUGAAAAUCAACCAGCCUAGACUAAUUUGGAACUGGCCAGCUACAGUAUGGGCAUCUGGAGGGUGGGCGGAAGAGGGGGAGGUUGCCCUUCCCAAUGCAGCCAACCCCAUUUAAUUCAAUGGGGGAUUACUCCCAGGGGAGGAUUGCAGCCUCUCACUGUCACUUGGGGGAAAGUCCUGUGGACACCUAUGUGGCCAGUAGGGGUAACUGACGAACUGCACAAAGAUCUACAGGGACUGGAAUUGUGGUGGAAAAGAAAGCGGAGAGUAUCACACGAAGUCAGUGGCUUUGUCAGGGAUGAGCAGCCAGAAGCCACAGGAGUGCACAUGUUGCAUGGUAAUGUCCCAGGAAAUAGUGUGACCCUCUAUCUCCUAGUGAUUAUGGAGGAAAGGGAAGAACCUCAAUGACUCAAAUUCCAUGACUCCCAUUUUCAGGGUAGAGAAGCCCUGACCUUUUCAAGCAAGCAUUCCUGACUGGCCCUGAUGGAACCUCUGGGAAAUUCCUUAUUUCCACCUUGCAGAAGCAGAACACUGGCUGAUAGUUCAGGAGAUCAGCUGACGUUUCUGGAAGAGAGCUAAUGGAUGAGAGAUCCGCUGGAGGGGGAAGUUAGAAGAAUCUUGUAAGAUGACAGG
Molecule: long non-coding RNA, 1091 nt
Organism: Hemicordylus capensis (graceful crag lizard)
Lineage: Eukaryota; Metazoa; Chordata; Lepidosauria; Squamata; Cordylidae
Exons: 3
Source: RefSeq, a predicted model, not a curated record